This 372-nucleotide ribosomal RNA is filed under the name uncultured organism. Its description in RNAcentral is "bacterial SSU rRNA". It matches the Rfam family "Bacterial small subunit ribosomal RNA", at positions 526 to 896 of the family's 1533-position model. The record is from RNAcentral.
CAGAGGUGCCAAGCGUUGUUCGGAUUUAUUGGGCGUAAAGGGUGCGUAGGCGGUCGCGUAAGUCGGAUGUGAAAUCCCGGAGCCUAACUCCGGAAUGUCAUUCGAAACUGCGUGGCUCGAGAUCUGGAGAGGUGAUUGGAAUUCUCGGUGUAGCAGUGAAAUGCGUAGAUAUCGAGAGGAACACCAGAGGCGAAAGCGAAUCACUGGACAGAAUCUGACGCUGAGGCACGAAAGCUAGGGGAGCAAACGGGAUUAGAUACCCCGGUAGUCCUAGCCGUAAACGGUGCGUAUUUGAGGUGAGGGGAUUCGACCCCCUUUGUCUCGGAGCUAACGCGUUAAAUACGCCGCCUGGGGAGUACGGUCGCAAGAUUA